Transfer RNA from Oryza sativa Japonica Group (Japanese rice), 82 nucleotides. It matches the Rfam family "tRNA". Rfam says of the family: Transfer RNA (tRNA) molecules are approximately 80 nucleotides in length. Their secondary structure includes four short double-helical elements and three loops (D, anti-codon, and T loops). Further hydrogen bonds mediate the characteristic L-shaped molecular structure. tRNAs have two regions of fundamental functional importance: the anti-codon, which is responsible for specific mRNA codon recognition, and the 3' end, to which the tRNAs corresponding amino acid is attached (by aminoacyl-tRNA synthetases). tRNAs cope with the degeneracy of the genetic code in two manners: having more than one tRNA (with a specific anti-codon) for a particular amino acid; and 'wobble' base-pairing, i.e. permitting non-standard base-pairing at the 3rd anti-codon position. The record is from Rfam. NCBI's taxonomy places the organism in Eukaryota, Viridiplantae, Streptophyta, Magnoliopsida, Poales, Poaceae.
GUCGAUAUGUCCGAGUGGUUAAGGAGGUAGACUCGAAAUCUACUGGGCUUUGCCUGCGCAGGUUCGAAUCCUGCUGUCGACG